GACGGAGGAUGCAAGCGUUAUCCGGAAUGAUUGGGCGUAAAGCGUCCGCAGGUGGCAGUUCAAGUCUGCUGUCAAAGACCGGGGCUUAACUUCGGAAAGGCAGUGGAAACUGAACAGCUAGAGUAUGGUAGGGGCAGAGGGAAUUCCUGGUGUAGCGGUGAAAUGCGUAGAUAUCUGGAGGAACACCGGUGGCGAAGGCGGCAUCCUGGACCAAUUCUGACGCUGAGGAGCGAGAGCCAGGGGAGCAAACGGG
RNAcentral lists this ribosomal RNA (253 nucleotides) under uncultured bacterium. RNAcentral's name for it is "partial 16S ribosomal RNA". It matches the Rfam family "Bacterial small subunit ribosomal RNA", at positions 524 to 776 of the family's 1533-position model. The record is from RNAcentral.